Long non-coding RNA from Nicotiana tabacum (common tobacco), 628 nucleotides. RefSeq lists it as uncharacterized. The record is from RefSeq and is a predicted model, not a curated record. Lineage: Eukaryota; Viridiplantae; Streptophyta; Magnoliopsida; Solanales; Solanaceae.
AAGUUUGGCCCGAAUGGCUAUAAAUGAAUUUUGCUCUUAAUUCUUCUUAAUUUAAAGCAAAGAGCUAAGCACCAAUACUUGGAUUGGAUCCAACAAGCACGAGGGCAGCCCAACAGCCCACUAGUACCUAGAUUUGGCCCAAAUAUAUUUUACCCGAGUCAGCAAACCCUCCUCAAUUCUGACUUUUCGUUUCUUCAUUCUCAAAACAGUCGUAGAAGGAGAAGAUCUCGAAUCGCUUCACAAAGGGCUCCGAAGCCCAAAGAAAAACCAAAGGCAUCAGCUGCUACCGUAGCUAUAUCCAUUGAAGAUCUCUUCACUUCGCUCAAUCGCUACAUCCAACGAUCCGAAUAUGAACAAGCCGUCAAAGUUUCUGAUCAAAUUAUUGCGUCUGCGCCUGGAGAUGAGGACGCGAUACGGUGUAAAGUGGUGGCGUUAGUGAAAGUCGAUUGACUUCUAGUAAUGGGAAAUCUGAGAGAAGUCAGCACUCCUGAUCUUCUCUACUGGGAUAUUAGCCAUUUCAUAAGCUUAUUUUCAGUACCAAAUGACUAUAGUCAACAAUGGAGGCACUGAGUGAUUUGUCAAAUGAAUUAUUAAUUUUUGAUAGUUACUAGUUGGGAAGUAGUGUUGA